GUCUACAGCCACGCCACCCUGAACGUGCCCGAGCCCAUCUGACCUCGGAAGCUAAGCAGGGUCUGGCCUGGUUAGCACUUGGAUGGGAGACCAGCUACGAAAACCAGGUGCUGUAGGAA
RNAcentral lists this ribosomal RNA (119 nucleotides) under Pteropus alecto (black flying fox). Lineage: Eukaryota; Metazoa; Chordata; Mammalia; Chiroptera; Pteropodidae. The record is from RNAcentral.